GAUGAACGCUGGCGGCGUGCCUAAUACAUGCAAGUCGAGCGCACGGACGAGAAACUUGUUUUUCUGAUGUUAGCGGCGGACGGGUGAGUAACACGUGGAUAACCUACCUAUAAGCCUGGGAUAACUUCGGGAAACCGAUGCUAAUACCGCAUAAAAUUUUUAACCACAUGGUUCAAAAGUGAAAGACGGUCUUGCUGUCACUUAUAGAUAGAUCCCCGCUGAUUUAGCUAGUUGGUAAGGUAACGGCGAACCAAGGCAACGAUGCAUAGCCGACCUGAGAGGGUGAUCGGCCACUCGGGAAUUGGGACAGGCUCCAGACUCCACCGGGAGGCAGCAGAAGGAAAUCUUCGGCAAUGGGCGAAAGCCUGACGGGGCAACGCGGCGGGAGUGAUGAGGGUCUUCGGAUCGUAAAACCCUGUUAUUAGGGAAGAACAUAUGUGGAAGGAACUGUGCACAACGUGACGGUACCUAAUCAGAAAGCCACGGCUAACUACGUG
This 497-nucleotide ribosomal RNA is filed under the name uncultured bacterium. RNAcentral describes it as "partial 16S ribosomal RNA". It matches the Rfam family "Bacterial small subunit ribosomal RNA", at positions 28 to 507 of the family's 1533-position model. The record is from RNAcentral.